GGAAGUGUAACUCAGUGGCAGAGCAUGUGCUUUACAUUCAGAGAGUCUCAGGUUCAAUCUCUGGUAUCUCCA
Podarcis lilfordi (Lilford's wall lizard) is the source of this 72-nucleotide non-coding RNA. The record is from the annotation of a GenBank genome assembly. Lineage: Eukaryota; Metazoa; Chordata; Lepidosauria; Squamata; Lacertidae.